This 60-nucleotide transfer RNA is filed under the name Parabathippus shelfordi. RNAcentral describes it as "tRNA-Ile". The record is from RNAcentral. Lineage: Eukaryota; Metazoa; Arthropoda; Arachnida; Araneae; Salticidae.
AAUAAGGUGCCUGAUUAAAGGAUUAAUUUGAUAGAUUAAAUAAAGUAUGAUUGAAAUUUC